Pipra filicauda (Wire-tailed manakin) is the source of this 175-nucleotide long non-coding RNA. RefSeq lists it as uncharacterized. The record is from RefSeq and is a predicted model, not a curated record. The transcript is spliced from 3 exons. Lineage: Eukaryota; Metazoa; Chordata; Aves; Passeriformes; Pipridae.
CCAGUUCUUCCACAGGUCAAUGCCUGCGUGAGGAAAGUAUGAAUUAUUCCAAAGCACAGAGUGCUGCAGUGUGUGUGUCUGUGUUUGUUGCUCCAGGAACUUCAACACAGCUUCUCCCCUGUGCCUGGCUCUGAGGGACUGGCUCUCUGGUUGCCCAUAUUUUGCUUUUCAAGAG